Gossypium arboreum is the source of this 927-nucleotide long non-coding RNA. RefSeq lists it as uncharacterized. NCBI's taxonomy places the organism in Eukaryota, Viridiplantae, Streptophyta, Magnoliopsida, Malvales, Malvaceae. The transcript is spliced from 2 exons. The record is from RefSeq and is a predicted model, not a curated record.
UAAUCUAUGUAGGAAAAAUGGAUGGAAACGGGGAUUUAAUGAUAAGCCGAGUUACACUUAAGAGCUAUUACAAUGCAAGGAGAAUGAAUGCUGUUGGGACCCCACCCCACUAUGCUAGUCCAUCCUUGUUCAACUAGGUCAACAUACUUUUUUCUGGCAUCUUACAUGGCAUUCCAUAAAUCGGUUUUUUUUUAUUAUGUUGGGGGGUGGGGUAUGGAACCUAACAGCAUUAUAAACAAGCAGCCAUUAGAGGAAAUCCAGUUGAACAUCUUGACAUCUAAAGAAAUGAUUGGAGUUUGAAACUUGAAAUUUCCUGCAGCCUUGCUAUAAUAUGAUAUAUAUGAUUAGAGCUAUUUGAAUGUGGAGAGUAGGGUUUACACUCGUUAUAUGAUAUUGUUCUGGCUGUGUUGCGGGGCUUGAGACCGAGAGUGAAUUGAGUGCUCAGAGCAUCAUAUAUGUUCUUUAUUUGAUUAUAUCAGAUCUUACUUGGCUAGCAUAGCAUUGAAUAAACUUUAAGAAGGUAGCAAAGGAAUCUAGAUUUUUCAUACAGGUUUUAGUGUAUUAGUAUACAAUCUCCUUUAUUAUUGUUUUUUUUUAAUUAUACAUCAUAUAGGUAUAGAUCAAGAGUUGGAAGAUAUCGCAAAUUGACAUUCACGUUUGUCCAAGCGGACAGUGUGUUGCUCACUCAAUUAUUUGAUUUUGGUUUGAAGGAAAAUGGAUUUUAUAGAUUUGGAGUAGAUCCGUCUUUAUGUAAUUUGGAAUUGUUUGAUGGUGUCGGUUUAUUGGCCACGCUGUUCAUGGCUUUUAAAUGCGAUCAGUUUCCUUUUCCUUCUUUUAUAAUGUUGAAGAGUUGGAAGAAUCAUUAUAAUAUGUGAAUUCAAACAUUAAAUAACAAAAACGCAGAUUAAGUUUAUUUUAUGAGAUAAA